GGGAAAUAGAUACCCAAACAGAGGAUUGCCAUAGUAACGGCGAGUGAAGCGGCAACAGCUCAAAUUUGAAAUCUGGCUCUUUCAGGGUCCGAGUUGUAAUUUGUAGAGGGCGCUUUGGUGUUGGCUGCGGUCUAAGUUCCUUGGAACAGGACGUCACAGAGGGUGAGAAUCCCGUACGUGGUCGACAGUCUUCACCGUGUAAAGCCCCUUCGACGAGUCGAGUUGUUUGGGAAUGCAGCUCUAAAUGGGAGGUAAAUUUCUUCUAAAGCUAAAUAUUGGCCAGAGACCGAUAGCGCACAAGUAGAGUGAUCGAAAGAUGAAAAGCACUUUGGAAAGAGAGUCAAAAAGCACGUGAAAUUGUUGAAAGGGAAGCGCUUGCAACCAGACUUGCCUGUAGAGGUUCUACCGGUCCAACGACCGUGUGCAUUCUUCUGUAGGCAGGCCAGCAUCAGUUCGGGCGGCUAGAUAAAGACCUCUGUCACGUAUCUUCCUUCGGGAUGACCUUAUAGGGGAGGUGUAAUGUAGCCAGCCUGGAUUGAGGUCCGCGCAUCUGCUAGGAUGCUGGCGUAAUGGUUGUAAGCGGCCCGUCUUGAAACACGGACCAAGGAGUCUAACAUCUAUGCGAGUGUUUGGGUGUAAAGCCCGGACGCGUAAUGAAAGUGAACGGAGGUGGGAACCCUUACGGGUGCACCAUCGACCGAUCCUGAUGUCUUCGGAUGGAUUUGAGUAAGAGCAUAGCUGUUGGGACCCGAAAGAUGGUGAACUAUGCCUGAAUAGGGUGAAGCCAGAGGAAACUCUGGUGGAGGCUCGCAGCGGUUCUGACGUGCAAAUCGAUCGUCAAAUUUGGGCAUAGGGGCGAAAGACUAAUCGAACUAUCUAGUAGCUGGGUCCUGCGAGU
This 898-nucleotide ribosomal RNA is filed under the name Kumanasamuha sundara. RNAcentral's name for it is "LSU rRNA". It matches the Rfam family "Eukaryotic large subunit ribosomal RNA", at positions 53 to 967 of the family's 3401-position model. The record is from RNAcentral. Lineage: Eukaryota; Fungi; Ascomycota.